This 1298-nucleotide ribosomal RNA is filed under the name metagenome. Its description in RNAcentral is "bacterial LSU rRNA". It matches the Rfam family "Bacterial large subunit ribosomal RNA", at positions 1635 to 2925 of the family's 2925-position model. The record is from RNAcentral.
UACACGACCGUACCGCAAACCGACACUGGUGCGCGAGAUGAGUAUUCUAAGGCGCUUGAGAGAACUCAGGAGAAGGAACUCGGCAAAUUGACACCGUAACUUCGGAAGAAGGUGUGCCUUUAGUAGGUGAACCUGUACAAGGGGAGCCCAAUGAGGUUGCAAAAAAUCGGUGGCUGCGACUGUUUAAUAAAAACACAGCACUCUGCAAACACGAAAGUGGACGUAUAGGGUGUGACGCCUGCCCGGUGCUGGAAGAUUAAAUGAUGGGGUGCAAGCUCUUGAUUGAAGUCCCAGUAAACGGCGGCCGUAACAAUAACGGUCCUAAGGUAGCGAAAUUCCUUGUCGGGUAAGUUCCGACCUGCACGAAUGGCGUAACGAUGGCCACACUGUCUCCUCCUGAGACUCAGCGAAGUUGAAAUGUUUGUGAUGAUGCAAUCUCCCCGCGGAAAGACGGAAAGACCCCAUGAACCUUUACUGUAGCUUUGUAUUGGACUUUGAACAGAUCUGUGUAGGAUAGGUGGGAGGCUUUGAAGUGCGGUCGCUAGAUCGCAUGGAGCCAACGUUGAAAUACCACCCUGGUGUGUUUGAGGUUCUAACCUAGGCCCGUAAUCCGGGUCGGGGACAGUGCAUGGUAGGCAGUUUGACUGGGGCGGUCUCCUCCCAAAGCGUAACGGAGGAGUUCGAAGGUACGCUAGGUACGGUCGGACAUCGUGCUAAUAGUGCAAUGGCAUAAGCGUGCUUAACUGCGAGACUGACAAGUCGAGCAGAUGCGAAAGCAGGACAUAGUGAUCCGGUGGUUCUGUAUGGAAGGGCCAUCGCUCAACGGAUAAAAGGUACUCUGGGGAUAACAGGCUGAUACCGCCCAAGAGUUCAUAUCGACGGCGGUGUUUGGCACCUCGAUGUCGGCUCAUCUCAUCCUGGGGCUGUAGCCGGUCCCAAGGGUAUGGCUGUUCGCCAUUUAAAGAGGUACGUGAGCUGGGUUUAAAACGUCGUGAGACAGUUUGGUCCCUAUCUUCCGUGGGCGCUGCAGAUUUGAGGAAGCCUGCUCCUAGUACGAGAGGACCGGAGUGGACACACCUCUGGUGUAUCGGUUGUCACGCCAGUGGCAUUGCCGAGUAGCUAUGUGUGGAAGAGAUAACCGCUGAAAGCAUCUAAGCGGGAAACUCGUUUCAAGAUGAGAUCUGCCGGGGCCUUGAGCCCCCUAAAGAGUCGUUCAAGACCAGGACGUUGAUAGGUCGGGUGUGGAAGCGCAGUAAUGCGUUAAGCUAACCGAUACUAAUUGCUCGUGCGGCUUGACC